Long non-coding RNA from Sphaeramia orbicularis (orbiculate cardinalfish), 952 nucleotides. RefSeq lists it as uncharacterized. The transcript has 2 exons. NCBI's taxonomy places the organism in Eukaryota, Metazoa, Chordata, Actinopteri, Kurtiformes, Apogonidae. The record is from RefSeq and is a predicted model, not a curated record.
GGGUCCAAAUACGCAAAUAAAUGUACCAAAGACUAAUAAAAGUGGGUUUAGCAAAAAUAUGACCCCUUUAAACUUCUUCCAUUAUAAACCUUACCCUAUGCAAAAGCUGAUGUAACCAUCACUAUAUGGUUAGGUUUUCAUAAAAAAGAUGGAUAUUCAAAGGAUAAGUUUUCAGUUCCUUCCUAAUAAAGCUACAGUUAUUAGCUUGUAUCCACUCGUUGUUGUAUAGUGAGAUGCUGUAAAAUAUGGCCACUGGUUGUUACAUUUACACAGGAUUUCUGCAAGACAUAUAAUGGUAAAUCAACAUGGUAACCCCUCUCACACCAUCAACACCAGAUCACAGUAUUCUGAAAAAUUACAUGUAAUGUCUUUAUCACAGACAAGUUGAUAUGGAAAUAAUAACAGUACAAAAUUCUGCAGAAAAUGAAAGCACUUGAGGUAAAUUGUAAAUAUUUGUUCAAAGGAUAGUUUACAACAGUGAAAGAUUUAUCACCUACAAUGUACACUACCACUAAAAGAUGUCCUAGCAUAAGUCUUUGAUAGACACAUUUUUAAAAAUCCAUGCUCAGAUGACUCUGCACAUUGGUAAACAUUCAAAUACUGACAUAUUCUUUACUAACAGGUCUGUAUCUGCACUAAAUCAUGUUACAAGACACUACAGAUCCCAUGCAGUAAGAAACCAUCACCAAGAAAUGUUGUUUGAAAGGUGAUUGUCAGACAGCUCCUCUAAAAAUAUAUUCGAUAAGAAGGGAAAAAGUAAAAUCUUUUUCUGGAUGUGCUGCAAAAUUUUAUGAGUUUGUCCCAAGCCCUACCCUUCCACCACAUUUCAUAAAGAUUGGUCCAGUAGUUUUUACAUAAUCCUGCUGAGAGAGAAGCAAACCAACUAAUAAACCAUCAAAGAGAUGCAGUUGAAAACGAAAGCACCUUGGCUGACUUUGUACAUCGUCAACUG